Molecule: small RNA, 1023 nt
Filed under: Pan troglodytes (chimpanzee)
Lineage: Eukaryota; Metazoa; Chordata; Mammalia; Primates; Hominidae
Description: processed transcript
Source: RNAcentral
AUACACCAAAAUGAAGACUGCCACCAACAUCUACAUUUUCAACCUUGCUCUGGCAGAUGCCUUAGCCACCAGUACCCUGCCCUUCCAGAGUGUGAAUUACCUAAUGGGAACAUGGCCAUUUGGAACCAUCCUUUGCAAGAUAGUGAUCUCCAUAGAUUACUAUAACAUGUUCACCAGCAUAUUCACCCUCUGCACCAUGAGUGUUGAUCGAUACAUUGCAGUCUGCCACCCUGUCAAGGCCUUAGAUUUCCGUACUCCCCGAAAUGCCAAAAUUAUCAAUGUCUGCAACUGGAUCCUCUCUUCAGCCAUUGGUCUUCCUGUAAUGUUCAUGGCUACAACAAAAUACAGGCAUGGUUCCAUAGAUUGUACACUAACAUUCUCUCAUCCAACCUGGUACUGGGAAAACCUGCUGAAGAUCUGUGUUUUCAUCUUCGCCUUCAUCAUGCCCGUGCUCAUCAUUACCGUGUGCUAUGGACUGAUGAUCUUGCGCCUCAAGAGUGUCCGCAUGCUCUCUGGCUCCAAAGAAAAGGACAGGAAUCUUCGAAGGAUCACCAGGAUGGUGCUGGUGGUGGUGGCUGUGUUCAUCGUCUGCUGGACUCCCAUUCACAUUUAUGUCAUCAUUAAAGCCUUGGUUACAAUCCCAGAAACUACGUUCCAGACUGUUUCCUGGCACUUCUGCAUUGCUCUAGGUUACACAAACAGCUGCCUCAACCCAGUCCUUUAUGCAUUUCUGGAUGAAAACUUCAAACGAUGCUUCAGAGAGUUCUGUAUCCCAACCUCUUCCAACAUUGAGCAACAAAACUCCACUCGAAUUCGUCAGAACACUAGAGACCACCCCUCCACGGCCAAUACGGUGGAUAGAACUAAUCAUCAGAAUUAUUAUAUAAUUCAUAGAUGUCGCUGCAAUACCCCUCUUAUUUCUCAAAAGCCAGUCUUGCUCUGGUUCUGUGAUUAAAGAGAGAGGGUGAGUGCCUUGCCCACUGUGGUCAUGGAUGCAAGAUAUUCACAGAAAAUUAGCAUCAU